This 253-nucleotide ribosomal RNA is filed under the name uncultured bacterium. RNAcentral's name for it is "partial 16S ribosomal RNA". It matches the Rfam family "Bacterial small subunit ribosomal RNA", at positions 524 to 776 of the family's 1533-position model. The record is from RNAcentral.
UACAGAGGUCCCAAGCGUUGUUCGGAUUCACUGGGCGUAAAGGGUGCGUAGGCGGUCGGGUAAGUCUGGUGUGAAAUCUCACAGCUUAACUGUGAAACUGCAUUGGAUACUAUUCGGCUUGAGAGUUGGAGGGGGGACUGGAAUUCUCGGUGUAGCAGUGAAAUGCGUAGAUAUCGAGAGGAACACCAGUGGCGAAGGCGAGUCCCUGGACAACUUCUGACGCUGAGGCACGAAAGCUAGGGGAGCAAACAGG